Molecule: ribosomal RNA, 1448 nt
Filed under: uncultured Bordetella sp.
Lineage: Bacteria; Pseudomonadati; Pseudomonadota; Betaproteobacteria; Burkholderiales; Alcaligenaceae
Description: partial 16S-23S ribosomal RNA intergenic spacer
Rfam family: Bacterial small subunit ribosomal RNA
Source: RNAcentral
AUUGAACGCUGGCGGGAUGCUUUACACAUGCAAGUCGAACGGCAGCACGACUUCGUCUGUAGGGCGAGUGGCGAACGGGUGAGUAAUGUAUCGGAACGUGCCUAGUAGCGGGGGAUAACUACGCGAAAGGUAGCUAAUACCGCAAGGGCCGGCCCUUCGGGGGAAAGUGGGACCUUCGGGCCUCGCACUAUUAGAGCGGCCGAUAUCGGAUUAGGCCAGUUGGUGGGGUAACGGCUCACCAAGGCGACGAUCCGCAGCUGGUUUGAGAGGACGACCAGCCACACUGACUGAGAUAUCGGGCCCAGACUCUACGGAGGCAGUGGGGGAAUUUUGGACAAAUGGGGGAAACCCUGAUCCAGCUACCCCAAGGUGCGAUGAAGGCCUUCGCUGUAAAGACUUUUGGCAGGAAAGAAACGGCACGGGACAAUACCCCGUGCAACUGACGGUACUCGCAGAAUAAGCACCAAAUAACUACGUGCCAGCAGCCGCGGUAACAUGUAGGAAAAGCGUUAAUCGGAAUUACUGGGCGUAAAGCGUGCGCAGGCGGUUCGAAAGACGAAAAUCCCAGAGCUUAACUUGAACUGCAUUUUUAACUACCGAGCUAGAGUGUGUCAGAGGGAGGUGGAAUUCCGCGUGUAGCAGUGAAAUGCGUAGUGAUAUGCGGAGGAACACCGAUGGCGAAGGCAGCUUCUGGGAUAACACUGACGGCUCAUGCACGAAAGCGUGGGGAGUAAACAGGAUUUAGAUACCCUGGUAGUCCACGUUCUAAACGAUGUCAACUAGCUGUUGGGGCCUUCGGGCCUUGGUAGCGCAGCUAACGCGUGAAGCGACCGCCUGGGGAGUACGGUCGCAAGAUUAAAACUCAAAGGAAUUGACGGGGACUCGUGCUGCCGGUGGAUGAUGUGGAUUAAUCUGAUGCAACGCGAAAACCUUACCUACCCCUUGACAUGUCUGGAACCCGUAAGACGGGAGGCUUGCGCGAGAACCGGAACACAGGUGCUGCAUGGCUGUCAAGCCAGCUCGUCAGAGAUGUUGGGUUAAGUCCUGGCAACGAGCGCAACCCUUGUCAUUAGUUGCUACGAAAGCGGCACCAACGAGACUGCCGGUGACAAACCGGAGGAAGGUGGGGAUGACGUCGAAGUCCUCGCGGCCCUUAUGGGUAGGGCUUCACACGUCAUACAAUGGCCGGACAGAGGGUCGCCAACCCGCGAGGGGAGCCAAUCCCAGAAACCCGAUCGUAGUCCGGAUCGCAGUCUGCAACUCGACUGCGUGAAGUCGGAAUCGCUAGUAAUCGCGGAUCAGCAUGUCGCGGUGAAUACGUUCCCGGCCCUACACACCGCCCGUCACAAUUACGGGAGUGGGCUUCACCAGAAGUAGUUAGCCUAACCGUAAGGAGGGCGAUUACCACGGUAGGAUUCAUGACUGGGGUGAAGUCGUAACAGCAGUAG